Molecule: ribosomal RNA, 219 nt
Filed under: uncultured bacterium
Lineage: Bacteria
Description: partial 16S ribosomal RNA
Rfam family: Bacterial small subunit ribosomal RNA
Source: RNAcentral
GUUCUCAGUUCGGAUUGUAGGCUGCAACUCGCCUACAUGAAGUCGGAAUCGCUAGUAAUCGCGGAUCAGCAUGCCGCGGUGAAUACGUUCCCGGGCCUUGUACACACCGCCCGUCACACCAUGAGAGUUUGUAACACCCAAAGCCGGUGGGGUAACCUUUUUGGAGCCAGCCGUCUAAGGUGGGACAGAUGAUUGGGGGUGAAGUCGUAACAAGGUAAC